UGCACAUAGAUAGCAGAACUGAUGUGCAAAGCAUAAGCAAGGUACAUAAUGCUGCUUCCUGUAUACUGUAAUACCAGUUGUGCAUUCUUAAAAUUUAGAAAUUGAACUGAGAACUGUAAUUAAAUCAAAUGGAUGAUAACCUGCAUAAGGGUGAAACUUUGUGGAGAUUUUCUUACUUCGCAUGGAUCAAAGUUUCUCCUUUGUGUGUAGCCGCGAAGUCUGGCACAUCUCCAUUUAUGAUUGGAGGUUGUAUCUUUUUCUUGUCUUGAAGUUUCAUUCUCCUUCCAAUCUUGCCAUUUUUGUUGAUUGUCUCGACUUGCAUCAAUAAGAUAACAAUUUAAAAUACGUUUUAUCGUUGAAGCUAAAAUUAAUUAGGAACCUCCAACGCCUAACUGGAACUGUUGCAUUUUUUGUUUUAAUUUUGUUGUGAUAGCACACACAAAAUAUUCAUCAUUAGUAACGGAUCACCUUGUUGGAUUACAUAUAUGUUUUGUUUUAACCAUCUUGGCAGGUUUCUAACCUUCCUUGUUAUGUGGCCCAUCUUUUCUUUUCAUUGUUGAUUCCUGCACAUUAGAGAGUGCAAAUAUAAAGCUAAAGCUCUCUUUUCAAUCCAAUGAAAUGCAAGCUCUUUUGCGUUUUCUUGAAAAAAUCAAAUAAAGCUAAAGUGGAUGGUAUUAUAAUAUUAUUACAGACAGUGGUGGACCUAGAGAUCGUGCUUUGCUGUGGCGAUGGACGACGAUAAAUAUCAUGGCGGUGCUCCCGCUGGUCAUUGGACAGGGGAGUACCCUUCUCGGCCGCUUGAGACCUUGACCAGCUGCCCCGCUUGAUGGUGGGUGUGCUACUAUUACAUAUUAAUGCUCAAGUUUAUGAAUAUUCAUUAUUUUUAUUACUUUUCACCCUAUAAAUAAUUUUUUGGUCGUACAAGUAAAGGAGAUCAAUUUUCGAGACCAGUGUUUUGCAGAAAUCUUUAAUGAUAAAGAGGAACUUCAGUUUCAAUCAUCAUGUGAAUACACAAAUAUCAUGAGUAUUUUUUAGUAGAAGCCGACCGAAGCAAUCUCUACCUGAUUAAUGAGGUGCUCCCUCCGUUCCAAAAUAGAUGACACAACUUUGUACUAAAGUUAGUACAAAGUUGGGUCAUCUAUUUUGGAACGGAGGGAGUACUUUAUUAGACAAAAUUACCGAGGUACUCAUGCAAAGUAUUAUGUGAACCAUUAUCUAAUCUACAAACUCCAAGUGAUUACCAUACUGCACUAUCAUGUACUUCUUAAUUGAUUUGAGGCCUAUGGAAGCCAUCCCACAACCCAAAAUAUAGUAGAGGAUCACCCUAGAAUAAGAUUUUAGUUUAGCACUGCCCAGAGUAAUUGAGGGUCUCCAUUUGUUUUUCAUUUUUUUUGUGGGGGUAUAGUGGGCGACAUCCUCUCAUUAUCCAUUAAUAGGUCUGAUCUAUAAUUUCAUGCAGAUCGUACAUACUGGAGGUGAUCUAGUUGCUCAACGGAGCCGGCUGGUGCCCAAUGCCGAAGUGCCACUGGUUGGAGGAAGUUGACCUUAAAGUGUUGUUCAAUGGAGGAAGAUGAUGUACAAGGUUGUUCGGAUGCCGAGAGAUUUUUUAUAUGCAUGCAACCAUGAGAUUUUGGUCCUAUCUAGAGAUAUUCUGUUUGGAGAGAUCAAAUCUCUGCAAAUUUCUGAGAGUUUGGAUUUGUUUGGAGGGAUGGCAUCUUUGUACAGUUUUUUUGUGGGCAGGAUCUUCAGAGUUUGGUCAUGUUUCUUACCCUGUACGCCCUAUUUUUUUAUUACAUGGGAUGGUCUGAUCGCUCGUGGGAUGGUGCAGCCUGUUUUUUAUUAGUUGAUGGUCCAGCUUAUCAUGAGUUUGUGUA
RNAcentral lists this long non-coding RNA (1874 nucleotides) under Triticum aestivum (bread wheat). RNAcentral describes it as "long non-coding RNA (TAES_LNC001391)". Lineage: Eukaryota; Viridiplantae; Streptophyta; Magnoliopsida; Poales; Poaceae. The record is from RNAcentral.